UACGGGAGGCAGCAGUGGGGAAUAUUGCACAAUGGGCGCAAGCCUGAUGCAGCCAUGCCGCGUGUAUGAAAAAGGCCUUCGGGUUGUAAAGUACUUUCAGUCGUGAGGAAGGUGUUAAGGUUAAUAACCUUAGCAAUUGACGUUAGCGACAGAAGAAGCACCGGCUAACUCCGUGCCAGCAGCCGCGGUAAUACGGAGGGUGCGAGCGUUAAUCGGAAUUACUGGGCGUAAAGGGCACGCAGGCGGUUAAUUAAGUUGGAUGUGAAAUCCCCGGGCUUAACCUGGGAAUGGCAUUCAAGACUGGUUAGCUAGAGUCUUGUAGAGGGGGUAGAAUUCCAUGUGUAGCGGUGAAAUGCGUAGAGAUGUGGAGGAAUACCGGUGGCGAAGGGCGGGCCCCUGGGACAAAGACUGACGCUCAUGUGCGAAAGCGUGGGGAGCAAACAGGGAUUAGAUACC
This 456-nucleotide ribosomal RNA is filed under the name uncultured bacterium. RNAcentral's name for it is "bacterial SSU rRNA". It matches the Rfam family "Bacterial small subunit ribosomal RNA", at positions 340 to 786 of the family's 1533-position model. The record is from RNAcentral.